AACAACAAACCCAGAAAUUUUCUUUAUAAAAAAAAAACAGCAAACCCAGAAAAUAAAAAAAAUAAAAGUAAAAAAAUCUCAAAUCUUUCCAUUAUAUUGAUGUUACUAUAUGUCUCUUCCAUUGAACAAAACAACAAUGUCCUCAACAAAAACCUAGGAUUGCAACACCCAUAAUCUUUUUUGUGUAUCUGUUUUCCUAUUUUGGAUACUUCUUGUACUUG
This 221-nucleotide long non-coding RNA is filed under the name Trifolium pratense (red clover). RNAcentral's name for it is "long non-coding RNA (TPRA_LNC009565)". Lineage: Eukaryota; Viridiplantae; Streptophyta; Magnoliopsida; Fabales; Fabaceae. The record is from RNAcentral.